GAUAUUUUUCAAUCUGCUCACUUUCAACUUUUCACAUUGUUGCUUUGUUUUCAACUUUUUCACCUUGUUGCUUGACUUUCAACUUCUUCACUUUGUUGCUUGACUUUUCAUUUCUUCACCCUAUUCUCCAGGCGGGUUCCUGACUUGCUAUUUCAUUAACUUGUUGCCAUGCUUUCAACUUCUUCACCCUGUUCUGCAGGCGGGCUCCUGACUUGCUAUUUUUCAAUCUAUUUAACUUUCAAUUUUUUCACCUUGUUGCUUGGUUUUCCAUUUAUUCGCCCU
Molecule: long non-coding RNA, 282 nt
Filed under: Capsicum annuum
Lineage: Eukaryota; Viridiplantae; Streptophyta; Magnoliopsida; Solanales; Solanaceae
Description: long non-coding RNA (CANN_LNC007724)
Source: RNAcentral